UUCCGGUUGAUCCUGCCGGACCUGACUGCUAUCGGAUUGAUACUAAGCCAUGCGAGUCAUUGUAGUAAUACAAGGCAGACGGCUCAGUAACGCGUAGUCAACCUAACCUAUGGACGGAAAUAACCUCGGGAAACUGAGCAUAAUACCCGAUAGAACAUUAUGCCUGGAAUGGUUUAUGUUCCAAAUGAUUUAUCGCCGUAGAUGGGACUGCGGCCUAUCAGUUUGUUGGUGAGGUAAUGGCCCACCAAGACUAUUACAGGUACGGGCUCUGAGAGGAGUAGCCCGGAGAUGGGUACUGAGACACGGACCCAGGCCCUAUGGGGCGCAGCAGGCGAGAAAACUUUGCAAUGUGCGAAAGCACGACAAGGUUAAUCCGAGUGGUUCCUGCUAAAGGGACCUUUUGACAGUCCUAAAAACACUGAUGAAUAAGGGGUGGGCAAGUUCUGGUGUCAGCCGCCGCGGUAAAACCAGCACCUCAAGUGGUCAGGAUGAUUAUUGGGCCUAAAGCAUCCGUAGCCGGCUCUGUAAGUUUUCGGUUAAAUCUGUACGCUCAACGUACAGGCUGCCGGGAAUACUGCAGAGCUAGGGAGUGGGAGAGGUAGACGGUACUCGGUAGGAAGGGGUAAAAUCCUUUGAUCUAUUGGUGACCACCUGUGGCGAAGGCGGUCUACCAGAAC
This 677-nucleotide ribosomal RNA is filed under the name uncultured crenarchaeote. Its description in RNAcentral is "bacterial SSU rRNA". It matches the Rfam family "Archaeal small subunit ribosomal RNA", at positions 1 to 686 of the family's 1478-position model. Lineage: Archaea; Thermoproteati; Thermoproteota. The record is from RNAcentral.